GAUGAACGCUAGCUACAGGCUUAACACAUGCAAGUCGAGGGGCAGCAUGAACUUAGCUUGCUAAGUUUGAUGGCGACCGGCGCACGGGUGAGUAACACGUAUCCAACCUGCCGAUGACUCGGGGAUAGCCUUUCGAAAGAAAGAUUAAUACCCGAUGGCAUAGUUCUUCCGCAUGGUAGAACUAUUAAAGAAUUUCGGUCAUCGAUGGGGAUGCGUUCCAUUAGCUUGUUGGCGGGGUAACGGCCCACCAAGGCUCCGAUGGGUAGGGGUUCUGAGAGGAAGGUCCCCCACACUGGAACUGAGACACGGUCCAG
This 314-nucleotide ribosomal RNA is filed under the name uncultured bacterium. Its description in RNAcentral is "bacterial SSU rRNA". It matches the Rfam family "Bacterial small subunit ribosomal RNA", at positions 28 to 334 of the family's 1533-position model. The record is from RNAcentral.